Molecule: ribosomal RNA, 253 nt
Filed under: uncultured bacterium
Lineage: Bacteria
Description: partial 16S ribosomal RNA
Rfam family: Bacterial small subunit ribosomal RNA
Source: RNAcentral
UACAGAGGGUGCGAGCGUUAAUCGGAAUGACUGGGCGUAAAGGGCGCGUAGGUGGAUAAUUGUGUUGGAUGUGAAAGCCCCGGGCUUAACCUGGGAAUGGCAUACAAAACUGGUUAUCUAGAGUGGAGCAGAGGUGAGUGGAAUUUCCGGAGUAGCGGUGAAAUGCGUAGAUACCGGAAGGAACACCAGUGGCGAAGGCGACUCACUGGGCUCAAACUGACACUGAGGCGCGAAAGCGUGGGGAGCAAACAGG